RNAcentral lists this ribosomal RNA (747 nucleotides) under Klebsiella pneumoniae. RNAcentral describes it as "partial 23S ribosomal RNA". It matches the Rfam family "Bacterial large subunit ribosomal RNA", at positions 2184 to 2925 of the family's 2925-position model. The record is from RNAcentral. Lineage: Bacteria; Pseudomonadati; Pseudomonadota; Gammaproteobacteria; Enterobacterales; Enterobacteriaceae.
AGCCAACCUUGAAAUACCACCCUUUAAUGUUUGAUGUUCUAACGUUGGCCCCUGACCGGGGUUGCGGACAGUGUCUGGUGGGUAGUUUGACUGGGGCGGUCUCCUCCCAAAGCGUAACGGAGGAGCACGAAGGUUAGCUAAUCCUGGUCGGACAUCAGGAGGUUAGUGCAAUGGCAUAAGCUAGCUUGACUGCGAGCGUGACGGCGCGAGCAGGUGCGAAAGCAGGUCAUAGUGAUCCGGUGGUUCUGAAUGGAAGGGCCAUCGCUCAACGGAUAAAAGGUACUCCGGGGAUAACAGGCUGAUACCGCCCAAGAGUUCAUAUCGACGGCGGUGUUUGGCACCUCGAUGUCGGCUCAUCACAUCCUGGGGCUGAAGUAGGUCCCAAGGGUAUGGCUGUUCGCCAUUUAAAGUGGUACGCGAGCUGGGUUUAGAACGUCGUGAGACAGUUCGGUCCCUAUCUGCCGUGGGCGCUGGAGAAUUGAGGGGGGCUGCUCCUAGUACGAGAGGACCGGAGUGGACGCAUCACUGGUGUUCGGGUUGUCAUGCCAAUGGCACUGCCCGGUAGCUAAAUGCGGAAGAGAUAAGUGCUGAAAGCAUCUAAGCACGAAACUUGCCCCGAGAUGAGUUCUCCCUGAGACUUUAAGUCUCCUGAAGGAACGUUGAAGACGACGACGUUGAUAGGCCGGGUGUGUAAGCGCAGCGAUGCGUUGAGCUAACCGGUACUAAUGAACCGUGAGGCUUAACCUU